CAUUGUGCUUGCACAGAUGACGACCGGCGCACGGGUGCGUAACGCGUAUAGAACCUACCUUUUACAGAGGAAUAGCCUUUAGAAAUGAAGAUUAAUGCCUCAUAGUAUUGUAGACUGGCAUCAGUUUAUAAUUAAAGAUUUAUCGGUAAAAGAUGGCUAUGCGUCCUAUUAGUUAGUUGGUAAGGUAACGGCUUACCAAGACAGCGAUAGGUAGGGGUCCUGAGAGGGAGAUCCCCCACACUGGUACUGAGACACGGACCAGACUCCUACGGGAGGCAGCAGUGAGGAAUAUUGGACAAUGGAGGAGACUCUGAUCCAGCCAUGCCGCGUGUAGGAAGAAUGCCCUAUGGGUUGUAAACUACUUUUAUACAGGAAGAAACACUGGUAUGUAUACCAGCUUGACGGUACUGUAAGAAUAAGGACCGGCUAACUCCGUGCCAGCAGCCGCGGUAAUACGGAGGGUCCGAGCGUUAUCCGGAAUCAUUGGGUUUAAAGGGUCCGCAGGCGGUCGAUUAAGUCAGAGGUGAAAUCCCAUAGCUCAACUAUGGAACUGCCUUUGAUACUGGUUGACUUGAGUCAUAUGGAAGUAGAUAGAAUGUGU
This 601-nucleotide ribosomal RNA is filed under the name uncultured Polaribacter sp. RNAcentral describes it as "bacterial SSU rRNA". It matches the Rfam family "Bacterial small subunit ribosomal RNA", at positions 72 to 671 of the family's 1533-position model. The record is from RNAcentral. Lineage: Bacteria; Pseudomonadati; Bacteroidota; Flavobacteriia; Flavobacteriales; Flavobacteriaceae.